UUGCAAUGGUAGUAUUUGUAGCUUUAGGUAUUAGAUUCUGUCUUUUUAAAAAAAUGAAUGCAAAUCUUGGUAAUGUGUUUAGUUGUGACAUUUUGGGCCUAAAGUAAUUACAUGACUUUUUUAAAAAAAUGAAAGCUUAUUCUGAACUAUGAAUUAUCACCGAUUUGUCUUUCAGCAUCAAUUCUUCUUAAAAAUGAAGCAUAUCUAUGAAUUCCAUAGGUUACCUUAUAGAAAAAAAACUGUUAGCGUACAUAUAAAAGUUACAUGUCAGUUUCUGAAAAAAACUUCUUUUGUAUUAAAAUGCCCCACAAAAUACCAACAUUUUAUUCCUUAAAGUACUAUUUAAACAUAGUAGAGCAUUUAAAUUAAAAUAUUUCUUAAUGGUUCAGUUGGGUUUAAGGGUUUGAUGAGGUAAAUUAUUAUCUUAAUUGCAGUUGUUUAGUUUGAAGAAAAUUUUCAGACUUUGUAUGUAGGAAUUAUAUUUUGCAAGCAUCUUAAUUUUUUCAACACUUUUCUCAUCCUAAACAAUGAUAAGCUAAUUUACUUUUUAAGAAGGGUUAAUUUGAAAGUGGUUAUUUUCUCAGGCUAACUCAUUUUGGGAGGCUUCUAAGAUUAGAAGCUUGAUUAAGGUCAGGAAGCAGUAUGUGUUUCCAACUUUUAAUUUUGGAGUUUUGUUUGAAAUGGUUAUUCCAUAAACCAUAGGUGAAUCCUCUAUCCACCUUUUUGAGAGAAAUUGCUCUUCAGUUAACAAUGGAUUGAUGUGUUCAUGAAAGUUAUUUUUGACUGCUGAUGACUUUAGAGUCAUAUAGGGAUAAUCAUUAUCCUGUCUUUGUCUCUAUUUUAGUGUAAAUUUUGUUUUUCCUGGGAUGUGCUUGUUUAGUUACAUUGACAUCUUAUUUUCAGCCAAGUUACCCUUGACCAACUGCUUUAUUGAUUGGUCCAAAUUUGUGGCAUGUUUUUCAGAAAGACUUAUGAUGGGUUGGUGCAAAGAAAUGUCAUAUUCCAAUCACGACAUGAGAAAUGGUUGGAUUCCCUGUCCUACUAGGAGAUUCUUGACUGACAUUUUAUCGUGUUAUUGUGUUCCACGCUAUUUAGUUCCUCCUGGAUUCUUCCGAAUUUCACAUGCACUGCUGCAAUCAGCUCCUGCAGAGCGGAUAACAUACCUAGGGACCCAGGUCUUCCUGGACAAGCAGCCAGUCAUGAACAGGGGCAGACUUGGCCUUAAAGUUUAAUUCUGAUUUUUUUUUUUUUAUUUCAAAGUAUAGAUAUUCAUUUUAUUUAUUAAAAAGUAAAACCCAGUAAGUGUACUGUAGGGAAUGUUUAUCUUACAAAGGAAGGGUUAUGUAAAGAUGAGCCCACCUGCUGGUUUUACUUUCCUUUUCCAGUAAUGUUUAUAUUGUAACUUAAACAUUUUUCUGGCUCUAAAAAUUAGGUAUGUCUUUGUUUUCUAGUGCAUAUCUCUGUUAUGUAAACCUGCUUGUGUACAUAUGAAGAAAACCGAUUUGAAACAUUUCUGUUUAUGCACAAAGUGUACCUUAGUGGUGUCUUUGGCAGAGGGUAAGAACCUCACCUUUACAAGGGAAGUAGGAAUGAUGGGUUUGCUUACAGAGCUUUAAAUUAUGUAGCUGGAAAUUGGGAGUUUAGUCUGUAUGUCAGAAAGAUACAGCCAACUCUGCCAUCAGUUUAAAAGAAAAAUAAGAUUUUGGUGAAAUCUUGUCUAAGUGGCUUUAACACUAUUAGAGAAUUUAAAAAACUGUUACAAUAAAUCAGACUGUUUUAGAAUAGCAACAUAAAGUUGGGGUUACUGUUUCAGAUGUAUAUUCAUGUAAAAAUUAGGUUUCAGUAUUGGCACUUAGGUGAUGAAAAUAUGGUAUAUUUGUAUUUUAAUGAAGUACUGGCACUAUAUAAAACGUUUAUUUUUAAAUCAGUGAGCCAGAAUUUCAUUGUGGAUUUGGAAAAAGAGAUUGUCAUUUUAUAAACUGCAAGAAUAAAUAUAUGUGUUUUAAAUACCAAAGUAUUCAGUUUUACAUUCUUACUUCAUUUUGAAAACAUGUAAGAACUAAAUUAGACUUUUAAUUAGUGGUUAAUAGCAGUGAAUAAAUAAACCUGUCUAAAAAUUAAAGAAUGACUGUAGAAUAAGACUUCUGACACUUUAAAUUUCUGUGUGAGGAAGAUAGUAUGUUAUCAAGGAACAUAGUGUAUUUUGUGUUGAUCAUUGCUGUUUUAAAAAUGUAUAUGUUCUAUGAUUACAUUGUUUCCCAUACCUCAGACUGAGUUUGAGUUGAUGUCUUCUUAACAUGAUUGGGUUAGUAACCAGUGGCAUUUAAUUUUUGUAAUGCAAAAACUUAAGGCUUUAGGUGUUCCCAAUAAAACUUUUAUAUAAGCCUCUU
This is a long non-coding RNA of Odocoileus virginianus texanus, 2390 nucleotides long. RefSeq lists it as uncharacterized. Lineage: Eukaryota; Metazoa; Chordata; Mammalia; Artiodactyla; Cervidae. The record is from RefSeq and is a predicted model, not a curated record.